Frieseomelitta varia is the source of this 3796-nucleotide long non-coding RNA. RefSeq lists it as uncharacterized. NCBI's taxonomy places the organism in Eukaryota, Metazoa, Arthropoda, Insecta, Hymenoptera, Apidae. The record is from RefSeq and is a predicted model, not a curated record. The transcript has 2 exons.
AUCACUACGUACGAACAACCGCACAAGCAGAUUAAGACGCGUACAAAUUUUUAGCACCGAUUAUAGGAUGAGAUCUAACCAAUGUGCAAGCGAAACCUGAAAAUUACCUGAUCAGGCAAUUUUUCAUUUCAUCACGAAUGAAAAAUUUUUAAUGAUGACACGGAACAUGUGUAUAUAAUACUGGAGUCAAGAUCAUCAACGCAAUCGUACUGCAUAUUAUCUAAUCAGUUGUUUUUAAAAAAAAUCCUUUAAAAAAAUCAAGAGAUACAGAUUGACGAUACAAUAUGAAACCGUAAACGACAAGACACGACAAGAUAAUCAAGAGUUUUCCAAGAACAACCGAGUAGUCGUGGAAAAUGUUUUCUUGGCGUGGUCGAUUCUCAUAAAAUUCACGUUUUGAGAUAGGAAUCUCGCCGGCAAAAGGCACCGUGGCUUAUUAGAAAAUUUUACGCUGAUAAGCUUCACGCGACGCCUCAACUUUUGUUCCCGCCCUCGUCUAAUUUGUUUCACUCAGAAAUCGUUCGAUAUUUCUUCGCGUUGAUCUCAUGACUUUUUACAGACGAAAAAGCUGAUAACGAGCUCUUGAAAACGAUUUUACUUCGUCGAUUAUGUUCCGGCAACUUGUUCACUAUCACGCUUGAGUUCUGUGAAACUUUUUCUGCGUACGAUAAAUCACUGAUACAUGAAAUGGUACGAAGUACCAUUCUAGGAUAAAAACAUUUCAAAGCUCGGCUUCGCGAUGCGAUUUCUUUAAUGACACCAACGCGUUAGAUAACGGUAAUUACUUUGUGAUUAUUAUUUUUCUUUUUUUUUUUUUUUUUUUUUAAUAAAAAUGUUUUAGAGAAACAAAGACGAGAGACAGUCCAAUGGUAUAACAAACGACCGACGACUAUCCAUUGGCUUUUCCAUCUUCCUUGGUAUCCCUAAGGCCAGCGCGCGUACACGUGUACUAUUUCUUUGUCUCCCUUCCUGGACGCGGGUUUCCAUGUCGACGGGACGAAGUACACUAUUACCUGACAGAAGCGUCGACAGUCUCGUCUCUCCCUGAUAUAAACCACCUACGAUCUUCUGCGCGUGCCACUUGCUCGCUUAGACCUCAGUCACCAUUCGAUCGACAAAUUAGUCCGUGAAAUCAUUGCCACUUCUCUAAGAAAAUUUUCUCGCUUCGUACUCGUUUGAGAAAUCAUUUGGAUUUUGACUGAUUUAACUGAAUUGAUUAAUAAUUGCAAACGACUAAACUGAACGGAUGAAAUCAAACUUGGCAAUGAAAACGGACAACUUGCAAACUUGCGUAGUGAAUCGUUUGUAGGUAAUUUAGGCGACACGUAUAUCAAAACUAUUAUUUCUCCUACAUAUGUACAUUCCAUUGGUGUUUGAACUACUAGAGACUGAUUAUUACAAAUAAUUAGGCAGAAUGGAUGAAACUGAUCUCACGAUAUUGUAGAAAUAGAGUUCAGUAGUGCAAGAAGCUCAGAGCAAUUCUUAAAUUAAAACAGUUAAUAAGGAGAGGAGUCGUGUCCAAUCAUUGCUGCUUAUUCUAGUUGAGACAAUUAAGCUGACGGAAGUAUACGUGAUACAACUUGUGACGUGAGUAUACGUCAAUACUGAGCUGCGCGAAUUAUUAAAAUUACAUUGUAUGAAAUGCACAAUAGCAAAUUUUAUAAGAAGUAUUACCUUUUCGUACGGUUGGUAGAAAAUAAUAAAUACAGAAAACGGAAACACAGUACUGUAGUAAAGUGACUUGUAACUAACAUAACAGGCAACAGAAAACGAGAUAUACCAAAAUGGUAUAAUGAAUGGUUAAUAAUAUACGAUAAUAGACAUCGUUAUUACUUUAUUACCAUAUUGUUUAUCGUGCCAUUACGUGUUCGCCGUAUCAUUAUCACUGAUAAAAUGCAAAAUGCGAACAAGUACACGGAACGUAUUUAACAAAAGAAACAAAGGUUAUCAUGUAUAUAAGUCGUAUAUACGUAAUAAAUCACACGAUACAGUGGAGGUAUUUAUAAUAGAAACAAUUCGAUCGAGGGAUAUCAUAGGAAUAUAAUAAAUUGAUCGAAGGGCCGCCGAAUAAUUGAAUUUUAUCGAUCGCAGAUAAUUACAUGGACAUGUGCCUAUAACUAGGCUUGAGUCACGAGUCAGAAACGUAACUAUCUAAACUAUAACAGGAUUCCUAUCUAAACUUCGUUAUUAUCAAGGAUCGACCUUUAGCGGAAGUGGGUUGCUAGCGAGUCGCAUAGGACGUUACACUUUCGAGCAUAACCACGGAAAUGUUAAUUCUCAAGAGUGCUUUUGUACGGAUCGAUUUUUAGACGACUAUACACCACUUUGCAUGGACAAGUGUUUUACGUAUUUCGUACAGCAAUAGCACAUGUCGCUGCAACUGGAAGAACAGCUUUCCGCGCUAUUGCCAUCGAUGAUGCACCCCAACGUGUAUUGAAUUUCACGGGAAAUUCCAUUUGCAAUAGUAAAUAUUCUAGAAAGAAUUGUGUACUGAACAAAUGCAUCGAGGAAAGCCGUAUCGAUCUGAGAAAAAGAGUAUGACGAAUCGCGAAAGACUUUCUCUGUCCGAUGGCAUCUAUUUGGAGCUAGGUAUUACAUCGAGCAAUAAUAACGUAAGGUGGUGAAUGAUGAUGAAAAAGAGAUCGCGUGAUCGGUGUAAUUGGCUUAUGGGUGCAACCGUGUUUUUCGAGACGGAAAUAAAAUUGGAUAAGUCGAGGGAAUGGUGUAACAAGGAGUGGCCCUUUCCAUCGUUCAUCCAUUGGGUGCGUACACCGAGAGAUAUAGUUCCGUCGCGUCUAUUUACGAGGCCAGGUUUCGUGUUUGCGACCGGUAACGACGUUGAUCCAUCGAUAGGACACAUGUGACGGACACACCCUAAAAAUCCUUCCUUUGUUCUUCCUUUAUCAGUGAAUCGGGAAAUGAAUUAAAAGAGAAAAAAAAAAAGACCAAACGAAGAAGAUGGUUGCACAAGAAAUUUGCUUUGCGUGCAUGCGGAAGUGAAACCCUACUGACUGUUAAUAUUUUACGCCACCACAAUCGAGGAUCUUAUCGAGUGUGCAGAUAUCGUGCAACAUAGUCCAGUGAUAUUGGAAAUAACAAAACAACGAUAUAAUCACGCGAGUACGAUCAGUCAUUUGUCAGAUAUCCAUUAUUUAUAUCUGUGGUGGUGGUUUCUAUUCGAUUGAUAUUAACUAGUGAGAAACGAUCGUCAACAAUAGGUACGAUCAGCAGGAAAUCUUUGUUUCUAUUUCUAUGUCAUAACGUCACAUUAAUUAUAAGAAAAAAUAAAUAAAUAAAUGCGAUUGAAGGGAAUUACAUUUACGUAGAAGCAUAAAUUAAAAUACGUUGUACAAAGAAAUUAUCAAGAAAUUAUCAAGAGAGAAUGUUGCUGUAGGUACUUCCGUUGAAUAGAGCAGUGAUCACCAGCGAAUAUCACGUUAGGAACAUUUUGACGCUGGUGAACUGCAUUUUAAUCACGUAUGUAGGCAACCAUCCAAAUCACGUUUUUGUAAUUGGCACUGGCUCUACCUUUCGGUUGUCAACAUGAUCAUGUAUCUACAAACUGCUCUGAAACAGGUUGCCUUGGGAAACAUCUGUUCCCCACACGUGAUAGAAACGACGCUUGUUCCAUUACGAAUAUCGAACUACCUGUUGAUGUAAAUAUAGAUUCCGAAUUGAUAUCAAAGAUGAAAUCAAUAGUAUCAAAUAGGACGCAAAUUUGUCACAUCGAUGUUAAUUGAUGGUAAUGCUGCCUCGUGAAUGCGUCUAUAAUAAUAAAAUAUUCCACUGUCCAAAU